This is a long non-coding RNA of Mus musculus (house mouse), 399 nucleotides long. RefSeq annotates it as predicted gene, 38531. Lineage: Eukaryota; Metazoa; Chordata; Mammalia; Rodentia; Muridae. The record is from RefSeq and is a predicted model, not a curated record. The transcript is spliced from 3 exons.
AACCCCCUCCACUCCUUCCACCUUCCCCCUCCCAGUCCCUUUUAUUUCGCAGCUGGAUAACAUUAAGGGCCUUUAAAACCACAAGGGUUGACCCCACCGCAGUUUGAUUAGGUCCUACGUUUUUUUUAUCCUGGCGACAGGCAGACAAGGGAAUGCUGAAGCAAGAGAAAGGGUAUGGUAAAGCGAAUCAUAGGAGUGGGGACGAAAGAGGAGACAUGGUGGCAGCAUAAAGCUAGAACUGAAGAUGACGGCCAUAAGGUGAGAUGCUGUGAGCACGUGGUCCCAGCUGCUGUCUCACUACAGCAUCUACCGCUGGCUGUACUUUGAUGCUGCAAUCCUGAAGGUCAGCACAGGACAUUGGCGCAGGCACACACUCCGAGGAGACGCAUUUGAAAACUC